This is a long non-coding RNA of Sapajus apella (tufted capuchin), 1558 nucleotides long. RefSeq lists it as uncharacterized. The transcript has 2 exons. NCBI's taxonomy places the organism in Eukaryota, Metazoa, Chordata, Mammalia, Primates, Cebidae. The record is from RefSeq and is a predicted model, not a curated record.
AAAGGAAGAGAAACCGUGGAGCUAGGAAGUGAUAAAAUUGGGUUCUGAGCACAGGAUUCUAUUUCAGAGCCUGUGUGUCUUCUUGCAGUUUAGACGAUUGAUUCACGCAGGCGAGGAGAGCACACACUUUAUCUCACAUAUUAUUUCUUGGUUUCCUGAUCUAAUUGUCCUUCCCUCACUGUUAAUGGAUAACUGGACUUUGCCCAGGAUAGGCAAGCAGCGAUUUUCUCGCCUGGGCCAACGGCAAAGGCAUUCACGGUGCCGAUGGGGAACGGUGCCAGAUUUCCCAGUAGCGCUCUGGGUGCGGGGCGUCAGCUGCUGGGCUCAAAGGGAGACCUCUGCCCCAGUGGAGGGCAUUAUACGUGUGGCCAGCUGCCUGCUCUUCCGGCCAAGAGAAACACGAUCAGAACAUAAACAGUAUCGUAACAGCACUCCACUCACAAUUGAGCUGGCUCAAAACCAGAUAUCACUAGGAACAUAAGUGCAUAAAAAAAGCAUCGUCCUUGAGGCGGACUGGGGGCUUCCCUGGAGAAUCAGUUUUCCUUUUUGUAUCUGUUUCCUUUGGUAUCCAGAGAAGAAAAAAAAGAAGAAUCAGAUCAGCCAAGCGGGCUGCUGAGAACGGUGACAUGAAUUGCAGGGAUGCAGGAAGUGCUGAAGAUGCUUUCUCAGCUAAGAAUUGGUUAAAGGAAAAUGACCCUCAAUGGAUUGGAAGAUGCCCACUGCAUUGAGGAGGCUGACUCUUCUUUCCGCAAUCUACAGGUUCCAUUGCAAAUCUCUUCUGAAAACACAGACACACCCAGAAAUAACGUGUAACUAGCUAUCUGGGCAUUUCUUAGCCCAGUCAAGUCGACCUCAAAUUAAUCAUCACAGCUACGUUAUACAUGACCCAAAACUCAGUGGCUUAAAGCAAUAGUCAUUUAUUCCCAUGCACCUGUGCACCAUCUUGGUUUGGCUGAUCUGGCUGGGGCUUGGCUGGCUGACUCUGCUUUAUGUGUCCUUCCUCUUCCUCCUGGGAUGGUUGCUUCCGUGGCGAGAGCAGAGGUACAAGAGGGCAGGCAGAGCCACAUGUGGAUUCUGAAUCCUGGGUUGGAACUCACCCCUUGCCAUUUCUGCCCACAUUCCAUUGACUGAAGCAAGCCACGUGGCCACAUCCAAGGCCCAGCAGUGAAGUACCCACCACCCACAACGAGACCAUCGCCAAGACAGGCACACAGGAAACAGUGACUCACUGGGGCCAAUUGUUCAAUCUAUUCAUGGUCACCAACUCUGGCAGUAAACACAAGAGUUGAAAAGAUGCUUGACUCAGGAUGGUCUCAUUUGCGCAAGAGGAAAAGCAGGACUUUCUGACAUUUUCAAAGGACUUCUAAGGAAACCAGGAUGACUAUUUACGUUGAUCAUCACAAAGUGACUCAUACAAGUCAUGUGAUUUAAAAACAGGAAAAUUCAACGCCAAUUGCCUAGACUUAUGACUCUCUGCAUCACCAUAGCAGCUGACAUGACAUAGCAUUUUUGAGUUCACAAGGCACUUUAAUAACCAUGUCUUAUGUUUGACUAGAAA